CACAAGGCAUUAUUAAAAGCCAAUGAAUAGUUAAAUAAACAUAUUUU
Non-coding RNA from Tyto alba (common barn owl), 47 nucleotides. Lineage: Eukaryota; Metazoa; Chordata; Aves; Strigiformes; Tytonidae. The record is from Rfam.